Molecule: long non-coding RNA, 406 nt
Organism: Bubalus bubalis (water buffalo)
Lineage: Eukaryota; Metazoa; Chordata; Mammalia; Artiodactyla; Bovidae
Exons: 3
Source: RefSeq, a predicted model, not a curated record
GGCUGGUCUCACUUCUCCAGUUUUCCUACCUAUUCCAUUAGGGAGUCACUAUCUCCACGGAAAACAAUCAGCGCAGCUGUGGAAAUUGUGACAAUUAUUCUGAAACGGAACUCCAAAGCUCAUCUCCUGGAAACUUACCAAACACAAGACCGCUGUGCAGGGACUGCUUCUAACUCUCACACCAGCUGCCAAUGAGUUUUUCAAAGGGCACAUGUUUAUGUUCGUACCGAGUGGCCAAAAAACUUGGAAGACAAAAACAACCAAUCAAGGGCAUGUGGGAUCUUACUUCCCCAGCCAAGGAUUGAACCUGUGCCCCUGAAUUGAAAGCAUGGAGUCCUAACCACUGGGCCACCAGGGAAGUCCCACGAUCAAGGUCAUUUGGACAGUCACAAGUGAAACCAAGCCU